Molecule: transfer RNA, 72 nt
Filed under: Marmota monax (woodchuck)
Lineage: Eukaryota; Metazoa; Chordata; Mammalia; Rodentia; Sciuridae
Description: tRNA.Val
Rfam family: tRNA
About the family: Transfer RNA (tRNA) molecules are approximately 80 nucleotides in length. Their secondary structure includes four short double-helical elements and three loops (D, anti-codon, and T loops).
Source: RNAcentral
GGGGAUAUAGCUCAGUUAGUAGAGUGCUUGCCUCACACGCACUAGGCCCUGGGUUCAAUCCCCAGUACCACA